This is a long non-coding RNA of Siniperca chuatsi (mandarin fish), 4262 nucleotides long. RefSeq lists it as uncharacterized. The record is from RefSeq and is a predicted model, not a curated record. The transcript has 4 exons. Lineage: Eukaryota; Metazoa; Chordata; Actinopteri; Centrarchiformes; Sinipercidae.
UGGCUCUGGGGAGGGCAAUGUCGGUCUGUCUGGCAGUCCACUACCUAACUACUGGAUGGAUUGCCAUGAACUCCUCAUGCACAGGUAGCAAUUAUUAGGCCGUAACGAUCAAUUUCUGCUUACUCUACUUUUAGUAGUGGGGGAAGUUUACCUUGUUAUUUUUAUUGAUAUUUUUAUAUUUUAUAUAAAUAUAUGAAUUGUUUCUAUUCAAUGUGUUUGGUUACUUCAUAAAUAUCAUUUUACACAUCCAGAAGCAAUAAAUAUACAUAAUGUUGUCAUGCAUUUCCUUUAAGCUCUGAAAAGGGCAAACUGUUGCCAAAACAUCAGUCGGAGUAAAGUCUAUAUGCUGUAUCUGUCAUUCCAAAGUGAUCCUGCUUUCUUUGCAAGUAAUUAUACUUAGUUUGUUAGUUUGCUAAACACCUAAAUUGUUUAUUUAUUAUAGCUAUAUCCAGCCACCAUAGCUUUGUAGAGUUAUAUGGUUUGCAGAAGUGAGUUGAUUUGACUAAGUUAGAUGAGUACAUGAUAAUGAUAUUCUACAGUGAGGGAACAUGUAAUAGGUGCAUUUGGGUAUUUACAAUACUACAUUAUAUAUUUGUCAUAUGUAUGUCAUGCAGACAUUCCAUAUAUAGGCUUACCAUCCUAAAUCUUAAUUUAAUCAUACAUUCAAAGAUGGGUGGUCAGUCUCUCUGUAAUGCUACUUACACAAUGACAUUCUAACAUUUUUAUCUUUCUUUUUCAUCACUGUCAGCGUUCGCGCUGUCUAUUGUAACCCAGUCUCUCUGCUUUGCUCUUCCUCUUAGCCAGCAGUGGUGGACAGAUGGCAGGAUCAAACCCCAUCAAACAUUUACAACCUCACAGACACAGCCUCAUCACACUCACUCCCUGACAUCAUAGAGGUCCACCCAUACCACCCCCACAUGUACAUACACACACAUGCACACACCUGCCCUAGUCGCAAGCUCAGAAAUCUUUCAAAUUAAGAGUUUGAUGGAGCUUUGACAGAAGUAUGAAUGGUAGAGUAGGUCUUCCUCUCUGCACUCAUCAACUCUAACCAACUAAAUUUUGAAGAAAAAAGGAUCGUAUGUGCUCUGCUAUACACUAUACUACUUAACAGCAUGUUUCCAUUACAUUGCUGAAAUUUUGGUCAAGGACUUUCAUCAUAUUGAAUCCAUCAAACUUGUUUUACUGCAGCCUUGAGCCCCCAGGGCCCUGUAUCUCAAACAAAAGGAGAAGGACGAUAGAGAGGAAGGGAGGACAGGGAUGAUGAGUCAAGGGAAAGAGAGAAAGAGAGUGAGAUGAGGAGGAGGAGGAGGAGGAUGACAGUGUUGAGGAGGAUGGGAAGAGAGAAGCACAGAUGAUUAGCAGGCGGGGGAGAAAGAGGAGGAGGAGGAGAGGUGGAGGAGGAGGAGGCAAAGGAACUAAAAUGGAUAGCUGCAUUGCUGUCAUGCUACAAUGUCCUUCAGGCUUUCACUGUAACAACAAGCACCCACUGAAUGAUGAUGAUAAUAUACAGCAAACUAUUUUACACAGAAAAAAACAUGACUUGUAGAACUAUGGAUGUAUGUUCAUGUAAGCAACCCACAAGUCCAGCAUCAUAAAUAUCAUUUCCUAUAUGCUGGACUUGUGGGUUCCUUACCUGAAUAAACACCCAAGCUGAGCUGCAUUGAACAAUGUUAUUUAGCCUGUACAUAAAGUGUAGUUUUUGACAUUUCUAUGCAGCGAUUGCAAUCUAUGCAAAAACACACUCACUCAAACACACAAAUAUACUUACAUGGAGAUAAAUAGACGCCAGUGUUAAAAAAAAAAAAUCUUAAUAAUGAUCAGUCUGUUUCUAUCCCAACAACCCCACAGAGAUUUGGUUGCCAAGUCAACCACGGCCACCUCGAUGACAACCAUGCAGUACUCAGCUUGUCGUCACCUCUAUUCUAUAUUCAACUGUUUGCUGCUUUUAUCAUGAAUUUGUAUUUUGAUUCUCUUCUCUUAGAAAAUGAGGGUGUCACAUGCUUUGGGGAUUACGGGUUGGCAUGUUUAAGUCACUGGUUUUGAUCAUAAGAUUACACUGUAUGUUAAGUCUAUAUCGUACCUUUUGUGACAGCGAGUCAAAUCCCUCGCUCAGUUUGGCUUGAUUUGCUCAGGAGCUUUUAAGAAUCUGGUAAGCAAUGACUACAGGGUCAAAGAGAACUCUGCAAAUUUCUAUAACAUGGUCUAACCAUGCACCCAGAAGAGAGCUGGAUGGUGCAGUGAUUUGGCAUAGUGGCAACAGUUAAAAUAUGCAGGUCACUUUUUGUUACACAUAUCCAUCAUAAAAGAGAAAGCUUCAAAAAUAGCUAUAAUCCAUAUUUUUAUAUUAACAAUUGAUCACAUGACUGCUUGUAUGCGAAAUGGUUCGUUAGUAUUGAUGAAUACAUUGAGAACUACUGUAUAUAAUCAUAUAUAUUAUUUAGAGAAUCAUCACCCGACUGCAGUUUCCCUCAACUCUACGGGGCGUUUUAACGUCUUUCAUCUCAUCUCUAUUUUAUUGAUCUGGUUCACUCCCACCACUCUCAUAGUGUCAUUUUCAGACGCAACAAGCAGCUGUCAUCAGUAAAAAAAAAAGCUCUGAUAAACCAGCUGUCUGCAACCUGCUCAGCACCAAACCACAGAAAGGCAAAGUUGGUGAACUAGUUGGUGAACAAAGUGGAGAUUUAGAAAGAUAUUUCCCUCAUGUGUUGGCAGAGACCAAAAACAGAGCUAAAAGAAGAGUUAAUAUUGGACUUACAUUCAUCAGAUGGACACAAACACAACUCCAAAUGAAUGCUAAUGUUGCUCCGUAUCUGUUGGCAACUGUUUGCUAACAGAUUCCCCAUAACAACUUAAAAAGUGAUAUUAUGUCAGUGCUGUGUUCAUGGCUUGUUUCCACUGCUCCCAAGUGGCCAAAAAUCAGUUAAAAACAAUGAAAGAAAUUACUCUUUGUGUUAUCACAAUUUGAGCCGUUGUUUCCAAUAUAAAUGUAAGAGUCAUAAGAGUCAGCUGUAAUAGCAUUAUUUCUGUGCCAUUUGGCAGUCCACCUGCUCAGUCUGAGAUUGACUCUGGAGGAGGAGAAGGAACGCACAUGCUAUGGGCCUAAAGAUUUUUUUCAGGAAAGAGGACAUUCUUCAGACAUUCUCUUAGGCAGAGCAAGGAGAGGAGUUUUAUUAAAAGCCUUUAUUUAGUCGGGCAUAUUGGUUAAAACGCCGACCAGUUUCAAUCUUUGUCAGGGAGAAUUUUUUUUGGGACGUAUUAAAGGGGUAGUAGUAUUGCACUUUUAUAAAGUUGGGGGGCUUAUUAGAAACAGAUCAAUAAAAGAAGAGAGGCUGUGUAGAACUACUCAUGAUGAGUUAACUGAACUUCAUGUGUAAAAUUGGUGGAGUGCCUCUUUAAGAGAACUGGAUAAGGUGUGGUGAGUCAGCUUUGCUGUCUGUUUACUAGUCUGCAUGUGCAGGAACAAGGAAGUAAACCAGGAGGACAGAAAACUUUUCUGGCAUUUGCACUGGUCAUUUUUGAUGUCCUGAUGCCUCCGAUUGCUAUGGGUAGCACGAAUCAGAUGAUGAGAUUACCAUGACAACAUGAGGGGCUGACGUGGGGGUUAUUUCUGAGGCCGCAGAGUCCGUGAAGACGAACUUUAUGACACUGGUGAAUCAUCAAGAGAAGCAGGACCAGACAAUGGGUGACCUCACCGUGUGACUGAACACCAACACUGGUAUCUCUGGUUACUGUCGUCAAAGCAACGAAUGUGUGUGUGUGUGUGUAAUCUGGUCUAGGCAUGGCCUUCGUUCCCUCUCCUACACACCUGCAACCAACUACCAAUCAAGCCUUGCCGCCACGCCUCCUGCACACCUGUGAUCCAUCCAAUCAUCCAGCUCCAGCAGUAUAUAACCCCGGCUCUCCUCUCUACUCUUCCCUGGCUUGUCAGCUAAUAUAAGUGGUACAGGCACAUGGCCAAGCUGUUAGCAUGCUGUUUGCUUGGCACGCUUUAAGUUUUUGAAUAUCCUGGUAACCUGUGUUUCUCCUUGUGCCUCAGGCUCAUACUCAUCUGUGAACCGUCUGCCUAUGAACCUGCCUGCCAGUCUGUCUGCCUGGACUUCCACUCGUACGUGUAUUGAUUUGCCGAUAACCUGCCUGCCCGCCUAGACUCCGUGUCAAUUAAAGACUGCCUGCCAAACCAGAUGACACCACUGUGAGAUCUUAGUCUACACUCAAGCCACUCUGUUAUCUGUGUGUGAAAUAAAUAGUUUGAACUUUGA